UGUAAGUCGUCUGAGAUUCUGUGAUAGGAAAACUCCUCCAUCGCCUCCAGAUUCUCAGUAGUCUGUUACACUCACCAAAACCUUAAGGAUUAUGAAGUCACACUGAAUUCCCAGAACAUCAGACCCACCCAUCUCCAAAUAUGACAACAAAAACACAUUCCAGAGCCAAAUAUAAACACAUUUUUAAUUAUCUGCGCCACUGCUCCCUCCCAUUAGUGUGGGAAAUCAAGAAUCUUGAGCCCUUCAGGGGCUGAGGUUGAAUCUGGUACAACAUCUCUGCCUGUAUCUGGUGCCCAGCCUAGAAGCUGGUGUAGAUGAGGGGCCAGGAAAGGGAUGGAGGAUCCUGCAGCAUGGCCUGGGAAUUCAGGACUUCAACGACAAUGAAGAAGAAAUACUGCCAAGAGCUGAGGUACCACUGGCAUCACUUGGGCCUGUGCCAUUCUGCCCACAUCCCCUUGGAAGUACAGAAUGGAGUACAGAAUCCCCCUCCUAUCUGGACUAGGCAGGGAGUUGAGGUGUGAUGAGGCCUUGCCAGCCGCUCUUCAUGGUGGGAAUACAUUCAAAUCCAGCCUCACCUGGAUAUCCCCCAGGAAUUGUGAGCCCACCAGUACCCAGCACCAUCUGCCUUCCUCUGGCUUAUCAGCCUUUUAGUGAUGAAAGGGGGACCAGCCCAUGACGAGGGAUGGUUGCCAUCUGAAAUGGUCAUCUUAGCAGAAACCAUGAAACAAACCUUCAUUUACAUGGACAAUAAUGCUAACAACAUUUAGAAAAAGGUUUGGAAUGUUGCCCCAGACUCCCUCAAAUCAACAAAAUAUGGAAUCUAGCAGUGACCCUUAUGAAAUACACAGGCCUGAAGGUAGAUUGGUUCCUACGGACAAGAAAAUAAUAUUUCUUUUUCAUUUCCAGCCUAGAAAAUUUGGCCAGCAUCCCAGCUGGCCACAGUACACAGAAGUCAGUUCAAAUAGAGAUUCCUGCCUCCCCUUGUUUGCAAGAGUUACUUGUAUAAAAACAGUCAACAAACGAAUCAGCCAGAUGAGCUUUCCUUCCUUUAUUCAGUCAGACAGUGUUUUAUGUCGGGAAUCCAUGUAGAAACAAAUUCAUGUGCUAGGUGCUGAUGAGAAACCUGAAUUUGCUGGUCUGGUUAUAUAAACUGUGCUGAGAUAGGCUGAAGGGAGAAGGCCCAGUGGAGAGCCAACCUGCAGUCGACUCUCUUCUGCACAUCAGCAAUAAGACUUGCAGCCUGGUGGCCAGUAUGGACCGUCCAUUCCUCUUUCUACGGCAGCUAAUAUUCAUCAAGGUCGUUGAUGUGCCAGGCAUUGUGCAAAGUUCUUUGCACGUACUGCCUCAUUUUGUCUCACAGCAGCCUUACGAAGUGGGCUAUUCUCUAAGGCUCAUCUCUAAGGCUCGGAAACAGAGAUAAUGCAUCUGAAGUCAUGAAGCUGGUAAGUCCGGAAGCCAAGAUUGGGGGAAGAUUCUCCAAGAUUGGGGAAGCCACGAUUUGGGUUUGCUUUUGUUUCUUUGAGACAGUCUCAUUCUGUCACCCAGGCUGGGGUGCAGUGGCACAAUCUUGGCUCAGUGCAACCUCUGCCUCCCAGGCUCAAGCGAUCCUCCUGCCUCAGCCUCCCAAGUAGCUGGGACCACAGGGGCAUGCCACCACACCCAGAUCAUUUUUUUAUUUUUUUGUACAGAUGGGGUUUCACCAUGUUGCCCAGGCUAAUCUUGAACUCUUGGGCUCAAAUGAUCCACCCACUUGGGCCUCACAAACUGCUGAGAUUACAGGUGUGAACCACCUUUCAAAUUUGAUGAAAACUAAAUCCACAGAUCCAAAGCUCAAUGAACUGCCUCCAAAAGCAUAAAUGUAAAGAAAACCCAAGCUAUGUCACAUGAUAAUACAAUCACUAAAAAUCAGUGAUGAAGAGAAAAUACUAAAAGCAACCAGGGAAAGGGGAC
This 1950-nucleotide long non-coding RNA is filed under the name Homo sapiens (human). Its description in RNAcentral is "HSALNT0002517". Lineage: Eukaryota; Metazoa; Chordata; Mammalia; Primates; Hominidae. The record is from RNAcentral.